GAAUAAAGGUGAAAUAAAAAAUAAUAGAAAUAACAAAAUACUGUAUGUGGGAAUGUCUUAUGUCCGUUCUACAUGUAGAGUUGGUACAUGGAAUAUUCAUCAACUGCAUAUAUCAUAAAUUGCUAUUGCAAAUAGAAGUAUUAUUUUCAACAACUGACAUUUUCAGUUAUUAUUUUGACAAACACACUUUAACACACUUUGGUGCUUACAAUUCAUUCUCAAUUGUCAUAGAUUUGGUGGGCACUGUCAUCUGUGAUCUUUGUGAUAUGACUUUCUUUAAGCACGUACUGAUGAAACGGUCACUCUACAUUUAUUCACUCUGGGAUAGGGUUGAAUCCUAUAUGCUACUUUUAUUAUUGUCCUGUGAAUGGUUCAGUGGCUAUAAUUUAGGCUGUAUGUAGAAUGGGGCAUAAAGGAAAUGACAUCUACUAGAUUAUAGUGAUAAGGAAAUCAGCAUACAGUUUUGGCCUGUGUAUUCAUUUGCCUGUAACUAAUCAGAAUUCCAUUAUGUUUCCAUAAAAAAGAGAAUACUUCAAAAUGAGAAGAUCCUGCCAUGGAAAAGACGACUGCGUGGACAUAAAGUGGAAAGGAGGGGAAAUAACUCACACCAUGCAGCAGGACACCUUCAGCUGUGGGGUCUUUGUAAUGCAGAUGGCCAAGGAAGUUGCACAGAACUUCCCCAACAUCCCAAACUGAUAUAGAACCUUCAAAAACACAUGGAGCAACUGCAAAAAGAAAUGGCUGAGGAUAUACUAAAAAUGUCUGAGUUCAACAAAGCCAACAACUUCUUAAUGUGUACCACUGAUAAAGAACCUGGAUGCGGCCCAAAGACUGACUGGAUUGAAUGUUUUGCAUGCCAACGGGGGUUCCAUGUGCUGUGCCUAGGAAUGAAG
Molecule: long non-coding RNA, 893 nt
Filed under: Salmo salar (Atlantic salmon)
Lineage: Eukaryota; Metazoa; Chordata; Actinopteri; Salmoniformes; Salmonidae
Description: lncRNA (ENSSSAG00000089046.1)
Source: RNAcentral